GACGAACGCUUGCGGCGUGCUUAACACAUGCAAGUCGAACGGAAAGGCCCUGCUUUUGUGGGGUGCUCGAGUGGCGAACGGGUGAGUAACACGUGAGUAACCUGCCCUUGACUUUGGGAUAACUUCAGGAAACUGGGGCUAAUACCGGAUAGGAGCUCCUGCUGCAUGGUGGGGGUUGGAAAGUUUCGGCGGUUGGGGAUGGACUCGCGGCUUAUCAGCUUGUUGGUGGGGUAGUGGCUUACCAAGGCUUUGACGGGUAGCCGGCCUGAGAGGGUGACCGGCCACAUUGGGACUGAGAUACGGCCCAGACUCCUACGGGAGGCAGCAGUGGGGAAUAUUGCACAAUGGGCGGAAGCCUGAUGCAGCAACGCCGCGUGCGGGAUGACGGCCUUCGGGUUGUAAACCGCUUUCGCCUGUGACGAAGCGUGAGUGACGGUAAUGGGUAAAGAAGCACCGGCUAACUACGUGCCAGCAGCCGCGGUGAUACGUAGGGUGCGAGCGUUGUCCGGAUUUAUUGGGCGUAAAGGGCUCGUAGGUGGUUGAUCGCGUCGGAAGUGUAAUCUUGGGGCUUAACCCUGAGCGUGCUUUCGAUACGGGUUGACUUGAGGAAGGUAGGGGAGAAUGGAAUUCCUGGUAGAGCGGUGGAAUGCGCAGAUAUCAGGAGGAACACCAGUGGCGAAGGCGGUUCUCUGGGCCUUUCCUGACGCUGAGGAGCGAAAGCGUGGGGAGCGAACAGGCUUAGAUACCCUGGUAGUCCACGCUGUAAACGGUGGGUACUAGGUGUGGGGUCCAUUCCACGGGUUCCGUGCCGUAGCUAACGCUUUAAGUACCCCGCCUGGGGAGUACGGCCGCAAGGCUAAAACUCAAAGGAAUUGACGGGGCCCCGCACAAGCGGCGGAGCAUGCGGAUUAAUUCGAUGCAACGCGUAGAACCUUACCUGGGUUUGACAUGGAUCGGGAGUGCUCAGAGAUGGGUGUGCCUCUUUUGGGGUCGGUUCACAGGUGGUGCAUGGCUGUCGUCAGCUCGUGUCGUGAGAUGUUGGGUUAAGUCCCGCAACGAGCGCAACCCUUGUUCACUGUUGCCAGCACGUUAUGGUGGGGACUCAGUGGAGACCGCCGGGGUCAACUCGGAGGAAGGUGGGGAUGACGUCAAGUCAUCAUGCCCCUUAUGUCCAGGGCUUCACGCAUGCUACAAUGGCUGGUACAGAGAGUGGCGAGCCUGUGAGGGUGAGCGAAUCUCGGAAAGCCGGUCUCAGUUCGGAUUGGGGUCUGCAACUCGACCUCAUGAAGUCGGAGUCGCUAGUAAUCGCAGAUCAGCAACGCUGCGGUGAAUACGUUCCCGGGGCU
This 1346-nucleotide ribosomal RNA is filed under the name uncultured bacterium. RNAcentral describes it as "partial 16S ribosomal RNA". It matches the Rfam family "Bacterial small subunit ribosomal RNA", at positions 28 to 1381 of the family's 1533-position model. The record is from RNAcentral.